Molecule: ribosomal RNA, 308 nt
Filed under: uncultured Fusibacter sp.
Lineage: Bacteria; Bacillati; Bacillota; Clostridia; Eubacteriales; Fusibacteraceae
Description: bacterial SSU rRNA
Rfam family: Bacterial small subunit ribosomal RNA
Source: RNAcentral
UUGGGUUAAGUCCGCAACGAGCGCAACCCUUGUGUUUAGUUGCAAACAAGGUCAAGCUGUGCACUCUAGACAGACUGCCGUGGACAACACGGAGGAAGGUGGGGAUGACGUCAAAUCAUCAUGCCCCUUAUGAUCUGGGCUACACACGUGCUACAAUGGCCGGUACAACGGGCAGCGAAGGAGCGAUCCGGAGCGAAUCCUAAAAAGCCGGUCCCAGUUCGGAUUGCAGGCUGAAACUCGCCUACAUGAAGUUGGAGUUGCUAGUAAUCGCGAAUCAGAAUGUCGCGGUGAAUGCGUUCCCGGGUCUU